Molecule: ribosomal RNA, 293 nt
Filed under: uncultured Lactobacillales bacterium
Lineage: Bacteria; Bacillati; Bacillota; Bacilli; Lactobacillales
Description: partial 16S ribosomal RNA
Rfam family: Bacterial small subunit ribosomal RNA
Source: RNAcentral
AACGCUUUUCUUUCACCGGAGCUUGCUCCACCGAAAGAAAAAGAGUGGCGAACGGGUGAGUAACACGUGGAUAACCUACCCUCAAGCGGGGGAUAACACUUGGAAACAGGUGCUAAUACCGCAUAAUAAAGAAAACCGCAUGGUUUUCUUUUGAAAGGCGCUUUUGCGUCACUUGAGGAUGGAUCCGCGGUGCAUUAGUUAGUUGGUGGGGUAAAGGCUUACCAAGACAAUGAUGCAUAGCCGAGUUGAGAGACUGAUCGGCCACAUUGGGACUGAGACACGGCCCAAACUCC